This 448-nucleotide ribosomal RNA is filed under the name uncultured bacterium. RNAcentral's name for it is "SSU rRNA". It matches the Rfam family "Bacterial small subunit ribosomal RNA", at positions 26 to 518 of the family's 1533-position model. The record is from RNAcentral.
AGAGCGAACGCUGGCGGCAGGCCUAACACAUGCAAGUCGAGCGCCCGUAGCAAUACGGGAGCGGCAGACGGGAGAGUAACACGUGGGAACGUACCCUUCAGUUCGGAAUAACCCAGGGAAACUUGGACUAAUACCGAAUACGUCCGUAAGGAGAAAGAUUUAUCGCUGAAGGAUCGGCCCGCGUCUGAUUAGCUUGUUGGUGAGGUAACGGCUCACCAAGGCGACGAUCAGUAGCUGGUCUGAGAGGAUGAUCAGCCUCACUGGGACUGAGACACGGCCCAGACUCCUACGGGAGGCAGCAGUGGGGAAUAUUGGACAAUGGGCGCAAGCCUGAUCCAGCCAUGCCGCGUGGAUGAUGAAGGCCCUAGGGUUGUAAAGUCCUUUCGACGGGGAAGAUAAUGACGGUACCCGUAGAAGAACGCCCGGCUAACUUCGUGCCAGCAGCCGC